UACGUAGGGGGCAAGCGUUAUCCGGAUUUACUGGGUGUAAAGGGAGCGCAGACGGCAGUGCAAGUCUGGAGUGAAAGCCCGCGGCUCAACUGCGGAACGGCUUUGGGAACUGAGUAACUGGAGUGCUGGAGGGGCAGGCGGAAUUCCUGGUGUAGCGGUGAAAUGCGUAGAUAUCAGGAGGAACACCGGUGGCGAAGGCGGCCUGCUGGACAGUAACUGACGUUGAGGCUCGAAAGCGUGGGGAGCAAACAGG
RNAcentral lists this ribosomal RNA (253 nucleotides) under uncultured Lachnospiraceae bacterium. Its description in RNAcentral is "partial 16S ribosomal RNA". It matches the Rfam family "Bacterial small subunit ribosomal RNA", at positions 524 to 776 of the family's 1533-position model. Lineage: Bacteria; Bacillati; Bacillota; Clostridia; Lachnospirales; Lachnospiraceae. The record is from RNAcentral.